This 663-nucleotide ribosomal RNA is filed under the name uncultured bacterium. RNAcentral describes it as "bacterial SSU rRNA". It matches the Rfam family "Bacterial small subunit ribosomal RNA", at positions 126 to 807 of the family's 1533-position model. The record is from RNAcentral.
CUGCCCUGCACAGGGGGACAACAGCUAGAAAUGGCUGCUAAUACCGCAUAAGCCUACAGCCUCGCAUGAGGGAGUAGGAAAAGAAAUUCGGUGCAGGAUGAGUCCGCGUCUGAUUAGCUAGUUGGAGGGGUAAAAGCCCACCAAGGCAACGAUCAGUAGCCGGCCUGAGAGGGCGACCGGCCACAUUGGGACUGAGACACGGCCCAAACUCCUACGGGAGGCAGCAGUGGGGAAUAUUGCACAAUGGGGGAAACCCUGAUGCAGCGACGCCGCGUGAGCGAGGAAGUAUUUCGGUAUGUAAAGCUCUAUCAGCAGGGACGAAAAAAGACGGUACCUGACUAAGAAGCCCCGGCUAACUACGUGCCAGCAGCCGCGGUAAUACGUAGGGGGCAAGCGUUAUCCGGAUUUACUGGGUGUAAAGGGAGCGUAGACGGCAAGGCAAGCCAGAAGUGAAAGGGCAGGGCUCAACCCUGUACAUGCUUUUGGAACUGUGGUGCUAGAGUGCAGGAGAGGUAAGUGGAAUUCCUAGUGUAGCGGUGAAAUGCGUAGAUAUUAGGAGGAACACCAGUGGCGAAGGCGGCUUACUGGACUGUAACUGACGUUGAGGCUCGAAAGCGUGGGGAGCAAACAGGAUUAGAUACCCUGGUAGUCCACGCUGUAAAC